Molecule: ribosomal RNA, 429 nt
Filed under: Chloroflexota bacterium
Lineage: Bacteria; Bacillati; Chloroflexota
Description: Chloroflexi bacterium partial 16S ribosomal RNA
Rfam family: Bacterial small subunit ribosomal RNA
Source: RNAcentral
UGGGGAAUAUUGCACAAUGGGCGCAAGCCUGAUGCAGCCAUGCUGCGUGUAUGAAGAAGGCCUUCGGGUUGUAAAGUACUUUCAGUCGGGAGGAAGGUGGUAAGGUUAAUAACCUUAUCAAUUGACGUUACCGACAGAAGAAGCACCGGCUAACUCCGUGCCAGCAGCCGCGGUAAUACGGAGGGUGCAAGCGUUAAUCGGAAUUACUGGGCGUAAAGCGAACGCAGGCGGUUGAUUGAGUCAGAUGUGAAAUCCCCGGGCUUAACCCGGGAAUUGCAUCUGAUACUGGUCAGCUAGAGUCUUGUAGAGGGGGGUAGAAUUCCAUGUGUAGCGGUGAAAUGCGUAGAGAUGUGGAGGAAUACCGGUGGCGAAGGCGGCCCCCUGGACAAAGACUGACGCUCAGGUGCGAAAGCGUGGGGAGCAAACAGG